Molecule: ribosomal RNA, 253 nt
Filed under: uncultured bacterium
Lineage: Bacteria
Description: partial 16S ribosomal RNA
Rfam family: Bacterial small subunit ribosomal RNA
Source: RNAcentral
UACGGAGGGUGCGAGCGUUAUCCGGAUUCACUGGGGUUAAAGGGUGCGUAGGUGGGAAUGUAAGUCAGUGGUGAAAUCUCCGUGCUUAACACGGAAACUGCCAUUGAUACUAUGUUUCUUGAAUUUUCUGGAGGUUAGCGGAAUAUGUCAUGUAGCGGUGAAAUGCUUAGAUAUGACAUAGAACACCGAUUGCGAAGGCAGCUAACUACACAAUCAUUGACUCUGAGGCACGAAAGCGUGGGGAUCAAACAGG